UCCUUUGAAAAAAAAAAAAUCACUCUGUUCUUCCUUUAAUGUGAUUGGCCAUGGAAGGACUUCUGCCUAGUAACAAGAGAACAAAAUCACUGAUUGGUGGAUUACAAAAUUCGUCCUUUUGGUCUGUUUGGUCAAUUGGUUGCUGACACCACAUUUCAAGAGGAAGUUUUUCUUCGUGCUCUAUGUUCGAUGACAUGAGAUAAGAAGAUGUGGAAAUGUUUGCAUGGAGUUCAUCAGAAUUACGGACAAAAAUCUAAAUUCUAUGAAAACCUGGACAGACACAGUUCACGGUUUAUGGACCUUUUUAAAACCAGAAGGUCGACUCCUGGUCAGAACUUGAAGUUUUUACUGCAAAUAGAGUCAGACAAGCCAACUGAGGUCUGAACCCUUGUUCUUCGAGGAUUGCCUGUCAUGCUGGGAGAUGCAGACUCCUCUUUCUUCAUGUUAAGUGUCUGAUCAUCACAACACUAUCCUUGAUGUGCCAGUGGAAAUCUUAUUCGAGGACACUGAUCUUCAGCCCCCUAACUCCUUGCAUUUGACUUCUUCCUAUGGAACAAUUCUUGAUGGCCAAGUGGUGUUGGAAAAAUGUAGGACCUCCACAGGGCAUCUGUCUUCUCUUUGGUUUGAUUUAUGCACUAGACCUGAAUUACCCAAAAUCACUCGCCAACACAUUUGAUUUCAUCCAGCCUAUACUAAUGACAAUGGGAUAGAAUGCUCUCGAGUCUAGACUUCAGACUCUAGCUAACCAGCUUUUUGCUAAAGAAACGUCUCUGUGAUACUUUAAUACCACCCUUUGUAUUGGGAUUUUUCCACCAAUCGAUUUACUCCAUUUAUCCAUUUAUGAAGAAUAAAAAGUAUGUUUAAAUAUUUACAUACACAGAGUUCUACAAUUGAUGGGCAGUUUUUAAUUUGGGAUAUUGUUAACAUUGUUACACAUUUCUGCAGUGUGAUUGUGACCUGGUGAUAUUUUAAUUACAGUAUAGUUUGUACUGUAAUAUUGUGACAUUUGGGCCAAAGACAUUUUCAGUAUGCAUUAUUUUAGUUUGCCGUGUUUGCAACUGUAGUAAGACUGUAGUUAUGUUUAGCCUACAUGUUCAGAAUAUUAACAAUUGUGAGGCAUAAAAAGUGUAAGUGCUAAGAGUCGUACAAUUGAUGUAAGUGCGCUAGUUAAUGUUGAACAUUUUUACUGUUGUUACCAACUUUACAGUGUGGUUGUGACCCAGUAAUAUUUCAACUACAGUUUGUACUGUAAUAUUGUGAAACUUUGGUGAAAGAUACUGUUGAGUAUGUUUUAUUUUGGUUUGCCUUGUUUGCACAAAGCUUAAACGGUCAAAAUUAAUUAUUUACAUUGACAUAAUUGUGAUACUUCAUUGAUGUAUAUAUGUGCAUAGAGUUGUACUAUUGAUGUACUACACUAGUUAAUUUUGUUACCACCUUUACAUUGUGGAUGUGACCCAUUUCCAUUACGGUAUGGGUUUACUGUAUUUUCAUUAAUAUUGUGACAUUUUGUCAAUAAAAGGUCAAAG
Carassius auratus (goldfish) is the source of this 1526-nucleotide long non-coding RNA. RefSeq lists it as uncharacterized. The transcript has 5 exons. NCBI's taxonomy places the organism in Eukaryota, Metazoa, Chordata, Actinopteri, Cypriniformes, Cyprinidae. The record is from RefSeq and is a predicted model, not a curated record.